RNAcentral lists this transfer RNA (62 nucleotides) under Cichlidogyrus casuarinus. RNAcentral's name for it is "tRNA-Cys". Lineage: Eukaryota; Metazoa; Platyhelminthes; Monogenea; Dactylogyridea; Ancyrocephalidae. The record is from RNAcentral.
GAAAGGGAGCAYAAAGCGCUGGGUUUUGCAAAAACCUUGUAGAGUUACARACUCCCCUUUUU